AGUUGUAUGCUUGAAAAUGAUCUCAAAUUAUAUGUUGUUUAAAAGCAUAAUGCAUGAUAAAAUGAUUAAUUGUAUUACAAAUCUACAAAUAAUUUUUUAAUCCUCUGGAUUGAAAUUUUGUCGUAUUAACAAUAAUUGACAAAAUUUAAAAUUACUUUAAUUAUUCUUGCUUUAUUUUACAUAUACAACCAAAAUGUUAGUUCCCGAUGAUGAAUACAUAUUUAUUCAAAAGCUUGAAAAACAUAUUCAAAGUUGUAAGGUAUUAAGGUCAUAGGUUAAUAGAAAAAUUGACGUAGGAAAUAAUAUUACAAUUAUUGUCAAAUUAUGUUGGCGCCGCUGCGGUCGCCAUCUUGCCAUUACCAUUUGUUGUCAUUUGAUUUGGUUUUUGAGCAAUUUUUCAAUUAAGUAUAGUAUUAUUUUGUUAUUAUUCUUUGUUUGAUGGAUAAUUAUACUGAAGCAUCAUUUAAUUAUGUAUUCUUUUGGAACUAACAACUAAAAUGCCUAUAACAGCAGUUUAUUCUGGAACUGCACAUCUAAAGGACCUAGAGCAACUGUUUCAGGCAAAUUAAAGUUAUCGUCAAGUUAUGGAAGACACUCCAAUGUUACCAUCGAUGAACAUGAAGUCUAGGAAGUCUCGGCUGGAUCCAUCUUGAAUUGCAUUUGAAAACAAAUAUGAAACUUGAGCUGACAACUCUGAAAUUGACAAAAGAAAAACAAAUAGAACAUCAAAAACCGAAGAACAUACUCCUCGAACGAUAGAAAGAGGUCGAACAUCCAAUAAAGCCAUCUCUUAUUCAAUAGGUCGAUAUCGAAAAAGUUUGUUCAGAAAAAUACUAGAUGUCACUGACGCCCAUAUUUUGAAAAUAUCUCGAACGAGCGAAAAAUGAAAUUUUUAAAAGUUAAGAGUUACGUUUUUUGAAAUAUGGACAAGUUUAUAUGAAAACCGUUAAUAAAUAAAAUAACAUUCUGUAGCAUAUAUUGUACGUAAGGAAAAUAAAUUUACCUAACUGACUUUCUUAAUAAAAUUUUCUAUUUUGUAUAUAGGGUGAUUGGAAACUCGAAACUCUUUUUUUAUUUCUGUGUUCAAAUGUAUCAUAUUGUAUUAUCAAGUGCUUUAUAACAUCUAUUAGUUUAAAAAUUAAUUUUUGUUAUAAAAUACAGGGUGUAGGGUAUUUAAAAAUAGAAAGAAAAUUAAAGACCGGAUCUUUCUUCGUCCACCGUGUAUAUAGGAGACUGAUUUCACUGUAAUAUACAAGUUGUUAAUCAU
This is a long non-coding RNA of Diorhabda carinulata, 1267 nucleotides long. RefSeq lists it as uncharacterized. The transcript is spliced from 3 exons. Lineage: Eukaryota; Metazoa; Arthropoda; Insecta; Coleoptera; Chrysomelidae. The record is from RefSeq and is a predicted model, not a curated record.